UGAGCAAUCUGCCCUUCUCUUCGGAAUAAGCGUUGGAAACGACGUCUAAUGCCGAAUACGACCUCCUUUCGCAUGAUCGGAGGUGGAAAGCUCCGGCGGAGAAGGAUGAGCUCGCGGCCUAUCAGCUAGUUGGUGUGGGUAAUGGCCCACCAAGGCGACGACGGGUAGCCGGCCUGAGAGGGUGACCGGCCACACUGGGACUGAGACACGGCCCAGACCUCCUACGGGAGGNAGCG
RNAcentral lists this ribosomal RNA (236 nucleotides) under uncultured bacterium. RNAcentral's name for it is "partial 16S ribosomal RNA". It matches the Rfam family "Bacterial small subunit ribosomal RNA", at positions 118 to 353 of the family's 1533-position model. The record is from RNAcentral.